RNAcentral lists this ribosomal RNA (406 nucleotides) under uncultured bacterium. RNAcentral's name for it is "partial 16S ribosomal RNA". It matches the Rfam family "Bacterial small subunit ribosomal RNA", at positions 30 to 526 of the family's 1533-position model. The record is from RNAcentral.
AUUGAACGCUGGCGGCAGGCCUAACACAUGCAAGUCGAACGAGUGGCGGACGGGUGAGUAAUGUCUGGGAAACUGCCUGAUGGAUGGGGAUAACUACUGGAAACGGUAGCUAAUACCGCAUACCAUCGGAUGUGCCCAGAUGGGAUUAGCUAGUAGGUGGGGUAUCGGCUCACCUAGGCGACGAUCCCUAGCUGGUCUUAGCGGAUGACCAGCCACACUGGAACUGAGACACGGUCCAGACUCCUACGGGAGGCAGCAGUGGGGACUAGUGCACAAUGGGCGCAAGCCUGAUGCAGCCAUGCCGCGUGUAUGAAGAAGGCCUUCGGGUUGUAAAGUACUUUCAGCGGGGAGGCGUUACCCGCAGAAGAAGCACCGGCUAACUCCGUGCCAGCAGCCGCGGUAAUUC